UGUGUUUGACCUGGAUACUUUCUCCAGAUCUGCUUCUGACCUGUGGACUGACUUGCUAGCUGGACUUUAGACCCGCCUCAACCCUAUCAGAGAUGCAUGAUGCCUGCACUGGGAGGCUUUCAACACUCUUCCCUCUAGGUUCUCCAGCUCCUAGAGGAGGAACCGAGCGAGCGGCCGAGGGAGUCGAUCUGGGGCGGAGGAGCGGAGGCCGCCCUUUGCCCCCCGCGGCGGCCGGCGGCCCAUGUGGCAGUGGACUUUGGCAGUGGCGCCCGGGGAGCGGAAGAAGGGCCCCGGCGGCCUCCGAGCAGGCCACUAAAGCCAUUUGGGACUUAACCUCUCCUGCCACCCC
Gymnogyps californianus (California condor) is the source of this 349-nucleotide long non-coding RNA. RefSeq lists it as uncharacterized. The transcript has 3 exons. The record is from RefSeq and is a predicted model, not a curated record. NCBI's taxonomy places the organism in Eukaryota, Metazoa, Chordata, Aves, Accipitriformes, Cathartidae.